RNAcentral lists this ribosomal RNA (206 nucleotides) under uncultured bacterium. RNAcentral's name for it is "partial 16S ribosomal RNA". It matches the Rfam family "Bacterial small subunit ribosomal RNA", at positions 568 to 774 of the family's 1533-position model. The record is from RNAcentral.
UGCGUAGGCGGCUGUGCAAGACAGAUGUGAAAUCCCCGGGCUUAACCUGGGAACUGCAUUUGUGACUGCAUGGCUAGAGUGUGUCAGAGGGAGGUGGAAUUCCGCGUGUAGCAGUGAAAUGCGUAGAGAUGCGGAGGAACACCGAUGGCGAAGGCAGCCUCCUGGGAUAACACUGAGCUCAGGCACGAAAGCGUGGGGAGCAAACA